RNAcentral lists this ribosomal RNA (491 nucleotides) under uncultured bacterium. RNAcentral's name for it is "partial 16S ribosomal RNA". It matches the Rfam family "Bacterial small subunit ribosomal RNA", at positions 28 to 507 of the family's 1533-position model. The record is from RNAcentral.
GAUGAACGCUGGCUACAGGCUUAACACAUGCAAGUCGAGGGGAAACGACGGGGAAGCUUGCUUCCCCGGGCGUCGACCGGCGCACGGGUGAGUAACGCUUAUCCUACCUGCCCCUGACUGAUGGAUAACCCGUCGAAAGUCGGCCUAAUACCUCAUUACAUCGUCUGCGGGCAUCCAACUACGAUUAAAGAUUUCAUCGGUCAGAGACGGGGAUGCGUCUGAUUAGCUUGUUGGCGGGGUAACGGCCCACCAAGGCGACGAACAGUAGGCGUUCUGAGAGGACGGUCCCCGACAUGGGAGCUGAGUCACGGACCAAGCUCCUACGAGAGGGAGCAGUGACGAAUGUUGGUCAGUGGGCGGGAGCCUGAAACAGCCAAGUAGCGUGCAGGAUGACGACGCUAUGGGUGGUAAGCUGCUUUUAUGCGGGGAUAAAGUGAGUGACGGGGCCGUCAUUGCAGGUACCGCAUGAAUAAGCACCGGCUAAUUCCGUG